AGGGCCGCUAAGGGAGGGGCGGCGCGGGGCUCUCGGCACCUGUGGCGCCGGGGGUGUCCCCAGCGGGGCGGUCCCGGCCGGGGUGUCCCCAGCGAGGCUGUUGCUGGUCCCCGGAGCUGUCGCUGGUCCCCGGUCCCCGCGCGUGUGUCCGUCCCCGUUGCCGGGGCUGCGCUCGGAGGCGCGGUGCCUGCAGGGGCUGUGCCCCCCGCCCCGCCGGCGGUGCUCGGGCUCGGCUCUCCGGCGGCGGGCUCUCCUGGUCUGCGCUGCCGGGCUCUGGUCGAAGCAGCCGCCUUUAACACCUACAUUUCCAGCUCAAGGUCUGUGCAUGUGUGCUGAUUUUCCAAUGAAGUACAUCCUGGUAACUGGUGGUGUCAUCUCGGGCAUUGGCAAAGGGAUCAUUGCAAGCAGCAUUGGCACCAUUCUGAAAUCAUGUGGUCUUCGUGUCACUGCAAUCAAAAUUGAUCCUUACAUAAACAUAGAUGCUGGAACCUUUUCACCAUAUGAACAUGGUGAAGUUUUUGUGUUGAAUGAUGGUGGAGAGGUUGACUUAGAUUUGGGAAAUUAUGAGAGAUUUUUGGACAUCAGUCUCUAUAAAGAUAACAAUAUCACCACUGGAAAGAUAUAUCAGCAUGUCAUUAACAAAGAAAGACAUGGUGAUUAUCUGGGAAAAACCGUUCAAGUUGUUCCACACAUUACUGAUGCAGUUCAGGAAUGGGUAAUGAAUCAGGCAAAAGUUCCUGUGGAUGAUGACAAAAAAGAGCCACAAAUCUGUGUAAUUGAGCUGGGUGGAACCAUUGGAGAUAUUGAAGGAAUGCCAUUUGUUGAAGCAUUUAGACAGUUUCAGUUCAAAGCAAAAAGAGAGAACUUCUGUAAUAUCCAUGUUAGCCUAGUACCACAGCCUAAUGCUACUGGUGAACAGAAGACAAAACCAACACAGAACAGUGUUCGAGCACUGAGGGGUCUAGGCUUGUCUCCAGAUUUGAUAGUCUGUAGAAGUGCAAAACCUAUAGAGAUGGCUGUGAAGGAGAAGAUUUCCAUGUUUUGUCAUGUGGAGCCUGAGCAGGUGAUAUUUAUUCAUGAUGUUUCUUCUACUUACCGAGUACCAAUCCUAUUGGAGGAGCAAGGCAUCCUUAAGUAUUUUAAACAGAGGCUAAAUUUACCUAUUGAUGACCAGCCAAGUGAUCUUCUAAUGAAGUGGAAGAAAAUGGCUUGCAGAUACGAGAGGUUGCUGAAGGUGUGUUCCAUAGCUCUCGUGGGCAAGUACACAAAACUAAGUGACUGCUAUGCAUCUGUUUUCAAAGCUCUGGAACACUCUGCACUGGCAAUUAAUUACAAACUGGAUUUAAUGUACAUAGAUUCAACAGAACUUGAACGUUCUACGGAAGCAGAGAACUCAGUGAAAUAUCAUCAGGCAUGGCACAAACUGUGCAAAGCAGAUGGCAUUCUGGUCCCAGGAGGUUUUGGAGUUAGGGGAACAGAAGGCAAACUCCAAGCUAUCUCCUGGGCAAGAACAAAGAAAAAACCUUUUCUUGGAGUUUGCCUGGGAAUGCAGUUAGCAGUUGUGGAAUUCGCAAGAAACUGUUUGAAUUGGGAAGAUGCAAAUUCUACAGAAUUUGACCCAGACACAAAAAACCCAGUUGUUAUUGACAUGCCAGAACACAAUCCUGGAGACAUGGGAGGAACAAUGAGACUGGGGAAGAGGAGGACUGUUUUUAAAACUGAAAAUUCUGUUUUAAGGAAGCUUUAUGGUGAUGAAAUGUUUGUAGAGGAGCGACACAGGCAUCGCUAUGAGGUGAACCCGGAAUUGACUCACUGCUUUGAAGAGAAAGGUUUGAAAUUUGUUGGUCAUGAUACAGAAGGGAACAGGAUGGAAAUUAUUGAACUGGAGAAUCACCCAUAUUUUGUGGGAGUUCAGUUCCACCCAGAAUUUUCCUCAAGACCUAUGAAACCUUCACCUCCAUACCUUGGACUGUUGCUAGCAGCAACUGGGACACUGAAUGCAUACCUGCAGCGUGGAUGUAAAUUGUCUCCAAGUGACAGCUACAGUGACCUAAGUGAUGACAGCUCUCCAGAAAAAGAGUUUCCUUAUUCGGACACAAGCUGAAAUGAUUAUAUGGGAGCACAGAAAUGGAUGAUGCUAUUGAGGAAAAAGCCUGACACUGUUCUAAGGUUUAAAAUAUGCCUUUUGGAUGGAAGGGAUCAGGAACCACAGGAGGCCACACAGAUGUGACUGAAAUGAAGUGGAAUCUGGAGUGCAAGAGGGAAGCUGGAUCACCAAACAGAGGCUGGGCAAGAAGAACUUUCUUUGAUGGCACCUCCAGUCAUGCUUUAUGUGAAGGCUUUUGAACCUACGAGGAUGAAAUUUCCCUCAGGCUCCCUGCUUUUAUUCCAGACAUGAAGCAAUGAGGAAACAGUUUUCAGGACAAAACCUCCCCACCAAAUUGACUGCCAAAAUAUCUGGUCAACAGCAAGGUGAUGUUUGAUGCCAGGUCAUUGUUCUGGAGACCCUUUCACUGAGCACACACCUUGCUGGCAGGGGAUGUCCCAUCUGGUUCUCUUGCUUCCUCAUCCAUGUUGCAUUUUACCCCAUUUCUCCAUCCCUUCAGGGAGUUUGGAUUGUUGUAUCCCUCCAUAAGGGAUUUUGAGUACUUUUUCUCAAGAAUUUAGAGACAUAUGCUAUAGUUUGUCGUGUGUUUCACCGCUGGUGAUUUUCUGGGGAACAGGCUGUGGGUGCCAACUCCAGAUUUGAAGGAGAAGUGUCUCUGAGGGCCUCAGCUGUGAUGACUGCUGAAUCCUUCUUUCCAUCACCAAGAUGUGGCACCAGUUUUGUGCCACCCCAUGCUAGAACCAGCAUACCCCAGAUUUUUUUGCUUCUGCCUUGUUUCAGAAAGUUUAAUGUACUGUAUUUCCCCUACCCUGAUAUCAAUGGCUUAUCCUGAAAGAGAAGGAGUAAGGUGAAGCAGAUCUAAAGAGCUGAGGAAUAAACACUCCUCACUCUCUCAUGAGGGAAAAUAUGUCUUUAUUGCCAGAAAACCACCUAAAAAUAUGGAGUAGAGAGCAAGUCAAAUCACCAUGAAAUGCAUUAACAAAACUCUUCAAGAAAAUCAAGGAGGAGAUGUUACUAUUAGGUCUGCAUUCAAAACAUAGGAGGAAUGCACUUGAAACUCUUAAAAUUACUCAGAACCCCUGAGUGUGCUGUGGAAGUGGUGCACAGAGAGAUCAAACUCCUCACAACAGAGAGGGGAAAGCAGCUCUUGAGAGUGUUUGUGGCAGAAUCCUGUUUCUAUUUCAAAUACUGUUUUGUCAAUAUGUUUGUGUUGCUGUUGUGCUCAGAAGUGCUUGCUUAGAGAAAGAUCCCUGCAUGCUGGGUGCUCACCAAAGGCCAUCCUUGCCCCCCACUGGACAAUAUAACAAGCUGACAAGCUUCCCUGGAUAGGCAUGGCUGGGGUGGUAGACAGCGAUUGCAGAAACAGCAGGUGCCUUCUCCCGUGUCAAAGUUUCAGCAGCCGUGCUGCAAAAGGCAACUUGAAAAGGACAGUGAAGUAGGCACAGAAUGGAGAAGCUGAGGAAAGCUUUUGUAGAAAUAAUUAUGUGCCAAAGCUCUUAGAUGUGCUUUAAAAACUCCAUCAAAACAAUGUUGCCUGGCUUCUGUGCAGUGACAGAUGAUGAAACAUUCAGUUGUGUUAGGUCAGAUAUGGCAGAACACAGGGAGAAAGCAGACUCCAUACAGUCUGGUUCCUGGGAUCUGGGGCUCCAAAGCCAUCAAGCAGGUGCUGGGCAGAAACUCCUUGACUUCCCUGCCAUAUAGCACUGCAGAAAUAUUUUUCCUACUUAAAAUCCAAUAAAAAUUGUAAAGACAACA
This is an RNA transcript of Haemorhous mexicanus (house finch), 3862 nucleotides long. It is a transcript of the gene named CTP synthase 2, with no coding region annotated. The record is from RefSeq and is a predicted model, not a curated record. NCBI's taxonomy places the organism in Eukaryota, Metazoa, Chordata, Aves, Passeriformes, Fringillidae. The transcript is spliced from 20 exons.